RNAcentral lists this ribosomal RNA (451 nucleotides) under uncultured bacterium. Its description in RNAcentral is "partial 16S ribosomal RNA". It matches the Rfam family "Bacterial small subunit ribosomal RNA", at positions 28 to 523 of the family's 1533-position model. The record is from RNAcentral.
GAUGAACGCUGGCGGCGUGCCUAAUACAUGCAGGUCGAACGAAGCCUUCGGGCUUAGUGGCGAACGGGUGAGUAACACGUUGGUACCUACCCUCUAGUGGGGAAUAACUGGCCGAAAGGUCGGCUAAUACCGCAUAAUACCGCAAGGUUAAAGCAGCAAUGCGCUAGAGGAGGGGCCUGCGUCCCAUUAGCUUGUUGGUAGCGUAAUGGACUACCAAGGCGACGAUGGGUAGCUGGAUCGAGAGGUUGACCAGCCACACUGGGACUGAGAUACGGCCCAGACUCCUACGGGAGGCAGCAGUAAGGAAUCUUCCACAAUGGACGAAAGUCUGAUGGAGCAACGCCGCGUGCAGGAUGACGGCCUUCGGGUUGUAAACUGCUUUUAUAUGGGAAGAUUAUGACGGUACCAUAUGAAUAAGGACCGGCUAACUACGUGCCAGCCGCCGCGGUAA